UGUCUACUAGUUGUCGGGACUUAAUUGUCUUGGUAACGCAGCUAACGCGUGAAGUAGACCGCCUGGGGAGUACGGUCGCAAGAUUAAAACUCAAAGGAAUUGACGGGGACCCGCACAAGCGGUGGAUGAUGUGGAUUAAUUCGAUGCAACGCGAAAAACCUUACCUACCCUUGACAUGGCAGGAAUCCCGAAGAGAUUUGGGAGUGCUCGCAAGAGAACCUGCACACAGGUGCUGCAUGGCUGUCGUCAG
Molecule: ribosomal RNA, 250 nt
Filed under: uncultured bacterium
Lineage: Bacteria
Description: partial 16S ribosomal RNA
Rfam family: Bacterial small subunit ribosomal RNA
Source: RNAcentral